Molecule: ribosomal RNA, 253 nt
Filed under: uncultured bacterium
Lineage: Bacteria
Description: partial 16S ribosomal RNA
Rfam family: Bacterial small subunit ribosomal RNA
Source: RNAcentral
AACGUAGGAGACGAACGUUAUCCGGAGUUACUGGGCGUAAAGGGCGUGUAGGCGGUUUGUUAAGUCUGGCGUGAAAGCCCUCGGCUCACCCGAGGAUCUGCAUCUCAAACUGCAUGGCUUGAGUAUGGGAGAGGAUGAGGGAAUUCCUGGUGUAGCGGUGAAAUGCGUAGAUAUCAGGAGGAACACCGGUGGCGAAGGCGCUCAUCUGGCCCAAUACUGACGCUGAGGCGCGAAAGCUAGGGGAGCAAACGGG